This 253-nucleotide ribosomal RNA is filed under the name uncultured bacterium. RNAcentral describes it as "partial 16S ribosomal RNA". It matches the Rfam family "Bacterial small subunit ribosomal RNA", at positions 524 to 776 of the family's 1533-position model. The record is from RNAcentral.
UACGUAGGGGGCAAGCGUUGUCCGGAAUCAUUGGGCGUAAAGAGCGUGUAGGCGGCCCGGUAAGUCUGUUGUGAAAGUCCAGGGCUCAACCCUGGAAUGCCGGUGGAUACUGUGGGGCUAGAGUCCGGAAGAGGCGAGUGGAAUUCCUGGUGUAGCGGUGAAAUGCGCAGAUAUCAGGAGGAACACCGGUGGCGAAGGCGGUUCUCUGGGCCUUACCUGACGCUGAGGAGCGAAAGCGUGGGGAGCGAACAGG